Molecule: ribosomal RNA, 253 nt
Filed under: uncultured bacterium
Lineage: Bacteria
Description: partial 16S ribosomal RNA
Rfam family: Bacterial small subunit ribosomal RNA
Source: RNAcentral
GACAGAGGGUGCAAACGUUGCUCGGAAUUACUGGGCGUAAAGCGCGUGUAGGUGGAUUGGUGUGUCAGAUGUGAAGUCCCUGGGCUCAACCCAGGAACUGCACCUGAAACUACCAGUCUUGAGUGGUGGAGAGGGAAGUGGAAUUCCUGGUGUAGAGGUGAAAUUCGUAGAUAUCAGGAGGAACACCAGUGGCGAAGGCGGCUUCCUGGACACCAACUGACGCUGAGACGCGAAAGCGUGGGGAGCAAACAGG